AGUGAACGCUGGCGGUAGGCCUAACACAUGCAAGUCGAACGGCAGCACAGUACGAGCUUGCUCUUACGGGGGGCCGGUGGCGGACGGGAGAGGAAUAUAACGGAAUCUACUUUUUCGUGGGGGAUCACGUAGGUAAACUUACGCUCAUACCGCAUACCACCUACGGUUGAAAGCAGGGGAUCUUCUGACCUUGCGGGAAUGAAUGCGCCGAUGUUGGGUUAGCUAGUUGGCGGGGUAAAGACCCACGAAGUCGACGAUCGGUAGCCGGUCUGAGAGGAUGGUCAGCCACACUGGAAGUGAGACAGCGACCAGAGUCCUAAGGUAGGGAGCAGAGUGGUAUAUGGGACAGUGGUCGCAAGCCUGAUCCAGCCAUACCGCGUGGGUUGAAGAGGCCUUCGGGUUGUAAAGACCUUUUGUUGGGAGAGAAAAGCAGCAGGUUAUUACCCCGCUUGUCUGACGGUACCCAAAGAAUAAGCACCGGCUAACUUCGUG
RNAcentral lists this ribosomal RNA (492 nucleotides) under uncultured bacterium. Its description in RNAcentral is "partial 16S ribosomal RNA". It matches the Rfam family "Bacterial small subunit ribosomal RNA", at positions 29 to 507 of the family's 1533-position model. The record is from RNAcentral.